Molecule: ribosomal RNA, 518 nt
Filed under: uncultured bacterium
Lineage: Bacteria
Description: bacterial SSU rRNA
Rfam family: Bacterial small subunit ribosomal RNA
Source: RNAcentral
AGUUGAUCCUGGCUUAGGAUGAACGCUAGCUACAGGCUAACACAUGCAAGUCGAGGGGCAGCAUUGGGAUAGCUUGCUAUUCAGAGUGGCGACCGGCGCACGGGUGAGUAACGCGUAUCCAACCGUCCUGCCAGUAGGGAACAGCCCGGCGAAAGUCGGAUUAAUGCCCUAUGUUCUUCAAUGCGGACGAUCUAAGUUGAAGGAAAGAUUCAUCGCUGGCAGAUGGGGAUGCGUCCGAUUAGCUGCCGGCGGGGUAACGGCCCACCGGGGCGACGAUCGGUAGGGGUUCUGAGAGGAAGGUCCCCCACACUGGUACUGAGACACGGACCAGACUCCUACGGGAGGCAGCAGUGAGGAAUAUUGGUCAAUGGGCGUAAGCCUGAACCAGCCAAGUAGCGUGCAAGGAUGACGGCCCUACGGGUUGUAAACUGCUUUUAUGCGGGGAUAAAGUGCGGCACGUGUGCCGCUUUGCAGGUACCGCAUGAAUAAGGACCGGCUAAUUCCGUGCCAGCCGCGGC